This 73-nucleotide transfer RNA is filed under the name Trichomalopsis sarcophagae. RNAcentral's name for it is "tRNA-OTHER". Lineage: Eukaryota; Metazoa; Arthropoda; Insecta; Hymenoptera; Pteromalidae. The record is from RNAcentral.
GUAUCCGUGGCCGAGUGGUCUAGGAUGUUGCUUCCCAUUCUUAUGGUCCCGGGUUCAAAUCCGGCCGGGGAUU